GUUGACCUCGGAUCAGGUAGGGAUACCCGCUGAACUUAAGCAUAUCAAUAAGCGGAGGAAAAGAAACCAACAGGGAUUGCCUCAGUAACGGCGAGUGAAGCGGCAACAGCUCAAAUUUGAAAUCUGGCGCAAGCCCGAGUUGUAAUUUGUAGAGGAUGCUUCAGGGCAGCGGCCGGUCUAAGUUCCUUGGAACAGGACGUCAUAGAGGGUGAGAAUCCCGUAUGCGACCGGUUGGCACCCGUCACGUAGCUCCUUCGACGAGUCGAGUUGUUUGGGAAUGCAGCUCUAAAUGGGUGGUAAAUUCCAUCUAAAGCUAAAUACCGGCCAGAGACCGAUAGCGCACAAGUAGAGUGAUCGAAAGAUGAAAAGCACUUUGGAAAGAGAGUUAAAAAGCACGUGAAAUUGUUGAAAGGGAAGCGCAUGCAACCAGACUUGUCGGCGGCGUUCCGCCGGUCUUCUGACCGGUCCACUCGCCGCCGGCAGGCCAGCAUCAUCUGGGCGCGCCGGACAAAGGCGCGGGGAAUGUAGCUCCUCGGAGUGUUAUAGCCCCGCGCACAAUACGGCGCCGCCCGGGUGAGGUCCGCGCUCCGGCUAGGAUGCUGGCGUAAUGGUUGUAUGCGGCCCGUCUUGAAACACGGACCAAGGAGUCUAACAUCUAUGCGAGUGUUCGGGUGUCAAACCCCUGCGCGGAAUGAAAGUGAACGGAGGUGGGAAGCGCAAGCUGCACCAUCGACCGAUCCUGAUGUCUUCGGAUGGAUUCGAGUAAGAGCAUAGCUGUUGGGACCCGAAAGAUGGUGAACUAAACUUGGCCAGAGCGAAGCCAGAGGAAACUCUGGUGGAGGCUCGCAGCGGUUCUGACGUGCAAAUCGAUCGUCAAAGCUGGGUUUAGGGGCGAAAGACUAAUCGAACCAU
This 912-nucleotide ribosomal RNA is filed under the name Teratosphaeria proteae-arboreae. Its description in RNAcentral is "eukaryotic LSU rRNA". It matches the Rfam family "Eukaryotic large subunit ribosomal RNA", at positions 1 to 943 of the family's 3401-position model. The record is from RNAcentral. Lineage: Eukaryota; Fungi; Ascomycota; Dothideomycetes; Mycosphaerellales; Teratosphaeriaceae.